RNAcentral lists this long non-coding RNA (402 nucleotides) under Brassica napus (rape). RNAcentral describes it as "long non-coding RNA (BNAP_LNC016017)". The record is from RNAcentral. Lineage: Eukaryota; Viridiplantae; Streptophyta; Magnoliopsida; Brassicales; Brassicaceae.
AGCAUCAUCAAAAGUGAGCUUACCAAGGUAGCAAGGCAAGGUUAACAUCCCUUUAGACUCAAGCUUAGGGAGGGACUUUAGAGGGAUUGGUGGAUCAAUCUUCAGAAUGGAGAUGUCCAAAAGCUCGGCCACUUCAGCUCGGUGGUCUAGAAUGUCGUUGAUGAGCAUCAUCUGGACAUGGGCUUCACGCAUACCCGAGAUUUCUGGAAGCCUGACCCCAACAUCACUAAGAUCUUUCCUGAACUUGGAGAGCACCUUAUUCAGAGCUUUGGUGAGAACUCUUUGGGGGGAAAUGGAGCUUAUCAUAGGGUGAUAGCUCAACCUCAGUGGCUUUCUCUAGCUUAACCUCUUUCAGCUUGUUGUCAGCUCUCUUCUCAACUUGUUUCUUAGCCUUGUGCUCAG